Molecule: long non-coding RNA, 684 nt
Organism: Raphanus sativus (radish)
Lineage: Eukaryota; Viridiplantae; Streptophyta; Magnoliopsida; Brassicales; Brassicaceae
Exons: 2
Source: RefSeq, a predicted model, not a curated record
UUCCUAUUGGUCACUUUGUUUAUGGCACGGAUCAGACAAAUCGAUGGUUCACAACCAUUCAUUAACUUGCAUCCAACGGAUACAAUUAAACACAUUUAUUAUAAUUUUUUGUUUUUUUCUUCUUCCUCCUUUUCUCGUUUCUGGUUUCUCAGAUCUCUCUCUCUCUCUCUUUCUCUCUCUCUCUCUCUCACGACAUUGCAUCUCCUUUUUUUUCAAUUGCUCGUCGGAAACGAAAAAUCAGUCGCCGAGACCACACCAUGUACGUUUGAGGAAAGAGAGCCCUGAUUUCAGAGACUUGAAGGAUAAAAGCAGGAGAUGGAGAAGGUGAAGAACAGCCGGAGAUGGAGAGAAGAGGCGGAGGCAGAGGCAUAACAAACGACGGAUGUGGUGGAGCCGAGUAAGAAGAAGAAGAAGAAAGGCGGAGAAGGAGAGCAGACAGAGACGCAAGGAGGAAGAGGAUGGAGUAGGAAGAUGACGAGCAGAUCGAACGGUGGUGGUCGUGGCUGGUGGUCUGGGCGUCAACGAGGAGUGCGGCCGAGAUUGAAGCAGAACGUGGUUCAGUUAGGGUCAGUUAGGUUUGGUUAGGGUUAGUUAAUAAACCGGAUUUGUAUGUAAACCGGUUAUUGUAAUAAACCAAUACAUUUGUAAACCAAAAUUUUAAUAAUAAAUAAUUUUAUUCACAAA